Molecule: ribosomal RNA, 598 nt
Filed under: Acinetobacter pittii
Lineage: Bacteria; Pseudomonadati; Pseudomonadota; Gammaproteobacteria; Moraxellales; Moraxellaceae
Description: bacterial LSU rRNA
Rfam family: Bacterial large subunit ribosomal RNA
Source: RNAcentral
GUUGUAUAGUCAAGUAAUUAAGUGCAUGUGGUGGAUGCCUUGGCAGUCAGAGGCGAUGAAAGACGUGAUAGCCUGCGAAAAGCUCCGGGGAGGCGGCAAAUAUCCUUUGAUCCGGAGAUUUCUGAAUGGGGGAACCCACCUACUUUAAGGUAGGUAUUGCAACAUGAAUACAUAGUGUUGCAAGGCGAACGAGGGGAAGUGAAACAUCUCAGUACCCUUAGGAAAAGAAAUCAAUUGAGAUUCCCUCAGUAGCGGCGAGCGAACGGGGAUCAGCCCAUUAAGUUAUGUGUGUUUUAGUGGAACGCUCUGGGAAGUGCGAACGUAGAGGGUGAUAUUCCCGUACACGAAAGGGCACACAUAAUGAUGACGAGUAGGGCGAGGCACGUGAAACCUUGUCUGAAUAUGGGGGGACCAUCCUCCAAGGCUAAAUACUCCUGACUGACCGAUAGUGAACCAGUACCGUGAGGGAAAGGCGAAAAGAACCCCUGUGAGGGGAGUGAAAUAGAUCCUGAAACCGCAUGCAUACAAGCAGUGGGAGCACCUUCGUGGUGUGACUGCGUACCUUUUGUAUAAUGGGUCAGCGACUUAUAUUCAGUAG